AAUUUUGGACAAUGGGGGCAACCCUGAUCCAGCCAUCCCGCGUGUGCGAUGAAGGCCUUCGGGUUGUAAAGCACUUUUGGCAGGGAAGAAAAGGCUCUGGUUAAUACCUGGAGCUGCUGACGGUACCUGCAGAAUAAGCACCGGCUAACUACGUGCCAGCAGCCGCGGUAAUACGUAGGGUGCAAGCGUUAAUCGGAAUUACUGGGCGGAAAGGGUGCGCAGGCGGUUCGGAAAGAAGGAUGUGAAAUCCCAGGGCUCAACCUUGGAAUGGAAUUCUUAACUACCGGGCUAGAGUGUGUCAGAGGGGGGUAGAAUUCCGCGUGUAGCAGUGAAAUGCGUAGAGAUGCGGAGGAAUACCGAUGGCGAAGGCAGCCCCCUGGGAUAAUACUGACGCUCAUGCACGAAAGCGUGGGGAGCAAAC
This 421-nucleotide ribosomal RNA is filed under the name uncultured bacterium. Its description in RNAcentral is "partial 16S ribosomal RNA". It matches the Rfam family "Bacterial small subunit ribosomal RNA", at positions 360 to 773 of the family's 1533-position model. The record is from RNAcentral.